GGCUCUAUGAUUAUAUGCCCUAAUUUAGGGUGAUAUACGCUAUUCUGAUGAAUUCAUAUGAGCAGAAAUUAAAUCAAUUUAUGAGAGCU
Small nucleolar RNA from Mercurialis annua (annual mercury), 89 nucleotides. RefSeq annotates it as small nucleolar RNA U54. The transcript has a single exon. NCBI's taxonomy places the organism in Eukaryota, Viridiplantae, Streptophyta, Magnoliopsida, Malpighiales, Euphorbiaceae. The record is from RefSeq and is a predicted model, not a curated record.